GACAGAGGUUGCAAACGUUGUUCGGAAUUACUGGGCAUAAAGCGCACGUAGGCGGUCCGUUAAGUCAUGUGUGAAAUCCCCCGGCUCAACCGGGGAAUUGCGCCUGAUACUGGCGGGCUAGAGGUCGAUAGGGGUGAGCGGAACUCCAGGUGGAGCGGUGAAAUGCGUAGAUAUCUGAAGGAACACCGGUGGCGAAAGCGGCUCACUGGAUCGAAACUGACGCUGAGGUGCGAAAGCUAGGGUAGCAAACGGG
This 253-nucleotide ribosomal RNA is filed under the name uncultured bacterium. RNAcentral describes it as "partial 16S ribosomal RNA". It matches the Rfam family "Bacterial small subunit ribosomal RNA", at positions 524 to 776 of the family's 1533-position model. The record is from RNAcentral.